AGAUCCUGUUUCACUAUCAAGUGCUAACUGUGGAUCAUCAAGGCUCUCUGUCAACUGCGGCGUCAUGUACGGUGCAACCUCCAGAGCAGCACUUCUGGACAAUAUGGACCAGUUUUUCUAUCCACUGCUGAUUGAUCCAGGCAUAAGUACCUAACUUUAGCUCGGCCAACCCACAGUCCUUUUCUGAGAACCUAACCCUAACACCUAAUCCAAUCUUAACCAGUCAGAAUUCUUUCUUCUGAUCUUAGUUACUACAGUGGAAAAAGGAGCUGAAGCUGAAAGGCUCUGAGGUCAGAAGCCCACCUCUGCCACUGGGGGAUGUGAGUUGAUCAACCAUUUUUAACUGUACUUCCCUUAAGUAAAAUGGGGUCUUCAUACCUAUGCAAUGAAGAGCAGGUGUGAGGACUGCGUAGGAUAAUGUGCAACCUACGUUGGCAAACAUUUCUAACUGGGCUUAUGAGGAAACCAGGCUCAGCCCAGCUGCACAGAUGGACCUGGUUUCUGCCAUGCCAAGGACCCACAAUUCCUGCCUCCACAGGCAGAUAAGAACAAUAAAA
Long non-coding RNA from Tupaia belangeri chinensis (Chinese tree shrew), 557 nucleotides. RefSeq lists it as uncharacterized. NCBI's taxonomy places the organism in Eukaryota, Metazoa, Chordata, Mammalia, Scandentia, Tupaiidae. The record is from RefSeq and is a predicted model, not a curated record. The transcript is spliced from 3 exons.